RNAcentral lists this ribosomal RNA (253 nucleotides) under uncultured bacterium. Its description in RNAcentral is "partial 16S ribosomal RNA". It matches the Rfam family "Bacterial small subunit ribosomal RNA", at positions 524 to 776 of the family's 1533-position model. The record is from RNAcentral.
UACGGAGGGAGCUAGCGUUGUUCGGAAUCACUGGGCGUAAAGCGCACGUAGGCGGCUAUUCAAGUCGGGGGUGAAAGCCCGGGGCUCAACCCCGGAACUGCCCUCGAAACUAGAUGGCUAGAAUCUUGGAGAGGCGAGUGGAAUUCCGAGUGUAGAGGUGAAAUUCGUAGAUAUUCGGAAGAACACCAGUGGCGAAGGCGACUCGCUGGACAAGUAUUGACGCUGAGGUGCGAAAGCGUGGGGAGCAAACAGG